RNAcentral lists this ribosomal RNA (2939 nucleotides) under Escherichia coli. Its description in RNAcentral is "bacterial LSU rRNA". It matches the Rfam family "Bacterial large subunit ribosomal RNA". The record is from RNAcentral. Lineage: Bacteria; Pseudomonadati; Pseudomonadota; Gammaproteobacteria; Enterobacterales; Enterobacteriaceae.
GGGUUGUGAGGUUAAGCGACUAAGCGUACACGGUGGAUGCCCUGGCAGUCAGAGGCGAUGAAGGACGUGCUAAUCUGCGAUAAGCGUCGGUAAGGUGAUAUGAACCGUUAUAACCGGCGAUUUCCGAAUGGGGAAACCCAGUGUGAUUCGUCACACUAUCAUUAACUGAAUCCAUAGGUUAAUGAGGCGAACCGGGGGAACUGAAACAUCUAAGUACCCCGAGGAAAAGAAAUCAACCGAGAUUCCCCCAGUAGCGGCGAGCGAACGGGGAGCAGCCCAGAGCCUGAAUCAGUGUGUGUGUUAGUGGAAGCGUCUGGAAAGGCGCGCGAUACAGGGUGACAGCCCCGUACACAAAAAUGCACAUGCUGUGAGCUCGAUGAGUAGGGCGGGACACGUGGUAUCCUGUCUGAAUAUGGGGGGACCAUCCUCCAAGGCUAAAUACUCCUGACUGACCGAUAGUGAACCAGUACCGUGAGGGAAAGGCGAAAAGAACCCCGGCGAGGGGAGUGAAAAAGAACCUGAAACCGUGUACGUACAAGCAGUGGGAGCACGCUUAGGCGUGUGACUGCGUACCUUUUGUAUAAUGGGUCAGCGACUUAUAUUCUGUAGCAAGGUUAACCGAAUAGGGGAGCCGAAGGGAAACCGAGUCUUAACUGGGCGUUAAGUUGCAGGGUAUAGACCCGAAACCCGGUGAUCUAGCCAUGGGCAGGUUGAAGGUUGGGUAACACUAACUGGAGGACCGAACCGACUAAUGUUGAAAAAUUAGCGGAUGACUUGUGGCUGGGGGUGAAAGGCCAAUCAAACCGGGAGAUAGCUGGUUCUCCCCGAAAGCUAUUUAGGUAGCGCCUCGUGAAUUCAUCUCCGGGGGUAGAGCACUGUUUCGGCAAGGGGGUCAUCCCGACUUACCAACCCGAUGCAAACUGCGAAUACCGGAGAAUGUUAUCACGGGAGACACACGGCGGGUGCUAACGUCCGUCGUGAAGAGGGAAACAACCCAGACCGCCAGCUAAGGUCCCAAAGUCAUGGUUAAGUGGGAAACGAUGUGGGAAGGCCCAGACAGCCAGGAUGUUGGCUUAGAAGCAGCCAUCAUUUAAAGAAAGCGUAAUAGCUCACUGGUCGAGUCGGCCUGCGCGGAAGAUGUAACGGGGCUAAACCAUGCACCGAAGCUGCGGCAGCGACGCUUAUGCUGGAGGUAUCAGAAGUGCGAAUGCUGACAUAAGUAACGAUAAAGCGGGUGAAAAGCCCGCUCGCCGGAAGACCAAGGGUUCCUGUCCAACGUUAAUCGGGGCAGGGUGAGUCGACCCCUAAGGCGAGGCCGAAAGGCGUAGUCGAUGGGAAACAGGUUAAUAUUCCUGUACUUGGUGUUACUGCGAAGGGGGGACGGAGAAGGCUAUGUUGGCCGGGCGACGGUUGUCCCGGUUUAAGCGUGUAGGCUGGUUUUCCAGGCAAAUCCGGAAAAUCAAGGCUGAGGCGUGAUGACGAGGCACUACGGUGCUGAAGCAACAAAUGCCCUGCUUCCAGGAAAAGCCUCUAAGCAUCAGGUAACAUCAAAUCGUACCCCAAACCGACACAGGUGGUCAGGUAGAGAAUACCAAGGCGCUUGAGAGAACUCGGGUGAAGGAACUAGGCAAAAUGGUGCCGUAACUUCGGGAGAAGGCACGCUGAUAUGUAGGUGAAGUCCCUCGCGGAUGGAGCUGAAAUCAGUCGAAGAUACCAGCUGGCUGCAACUGUUUAUUAAAAACACAGCACUGUGCAAACACGAAAGUGGACGUAUACGGUGUGACGCCUGCCCGGUGCCGGAAGGUUAAUUGAUGGGGUCAGCGCAAGCGAAGCUCUUGAUCGAAGCCCCGGUAAACGGCGGCCGUAACUAUAACGGUCCUAAGGUAGCGAAAUUCCUUGUCGGGUAAGUUCCGACCUGCACGAAUGGCGUAAUGAUGGCCAGGCUGUCUCCACCCGAGACUCAGUGAAAUUGAACUCGCUGUGAAGAUGCAGUGUACCCGCGGCAAGACGGAAAGACCCCGUGAACCUUUACUAUAGCUUGACACUGAACAUUGAGCCUUGAUGUGUAGGAUAGGUGGGAGGCUUUGAAGUGUGGACGCCAGUCUGCAUGGAGCCGACCUUGAAAUACCACCCUUUAAUGUUUGAUGUUCUAACGUUGACCCGUGAUCCGGGUUGCGGACAGUGUCUGGUGGGUAGUUUGACUGGGGCGGUCUCCUCCUAAAGAGUGACCCGUGAUCCGGGUUGCGGACAGUGUCUGGUGGGUAGUUUGACUGGGGCGGUCUCCUCCUAAAGAGUAACGGAGGAGCACGAAGGUUGGCUAAUCCUGGUCGGACAUCAGGAGGUUAGUGCAAUGGCAUAAGCCAGCUUGACUGCGAGCGUGACGGCGCGAGCAGGUGCGAAAGCAGGUCAUAGUGAUCCGGUGGUUCUGAAUGGAAGGGCCAUCGCUCAACGGAUAAAAGGUACUCCGGGGAUAACAGGCUGAUACCGCCCAAGAGUUCAUAUCGACGGCGGUGUUUGGCACCUCGAUGUCGGCUCAUCACAUCCUGGGGCUGAAGUAGGUCCCAAGGGUAUGGCUGUUCGCCAUUUAAAGUGGUACGCGAGCUGGGUUUAGAACGUCGUGAGACAGUUCGGUCCCUAUCUGCCGUGGGCGCUGGAGAACUGAGGGGGGCUGCUCCUAGUACGAGAGGACCGGAGUGGACGCAUCACUGGUGUUCGGGUUGUCAUGCCAAUGGCACUGCCCGGUAGCUAAAUGCGGAAGAGAUAAGUGCUGAAAGCAUCUAAGCACGAAACUUGCCCCGAGAUGAGUUCUCCCUGACUCCUUGAGAGUCCUGAAGGAACGUUGAAGACGACGACGUUGAUAGGCCGGGUGUGUAAGCGCAGCGAUGCGUUGAGCUAACCGGUACUAAUGAACCGUGAGGCUUAACCUUACAACGCCGAAG